GAUGAACGCUAGCGGCAGGCUUAAUACAUGCAAGUCGAACGGCAGCACGAAUAGCAAUAUUUGGUGGCGAGUGGCGCACGGGUGCGUAACACGUAUGCAACUUACCUAUUACAGGGAGAUAGCUCCGAGAAAUCGGGAUUAAUAUUCCAUAGUAUUAUGAUUUGGCAUCAGAUUAUAAUUAAAGCUCCGGCGGUAAUAGAUAGGCAUGCGCGACAUUAGCUAGUUGGUGAGGUAAAGGCUCACCAAGGCG
RNAcentral lists this ribosomal RNA (250 nucleotides) under uncultured bacterium. RNAcentral's name for it is "partial 16S ribosomal RNA". It matches the Rfam family "Bacterial small subunit ribosomal RNA", at positions 28 to 275 of the family's 1533-position model. The record is from RNAcentral.